RNAcentral lists this ribosomal RNA (818 nucleotides) under uncultured bacterium. RNAcentral's name for it is "bacterial SSU rRNA". It matches the Rfam family "Bacterial small subunit ribosomal RNA", at positions 56 to 887 of the family's 1533-position model. The record is from RNAcentral.
UGCAAGUCGAACGGAAGUUAGAGCUUCGGUUUUAACUUUAGUGGCGAACGGGUGAGUAACGCGUGAGGAACCUGCCUUUCAGUGGGGGACAACAGUUGGAAACGACUGCUAAUACCGCAUGAUGCUUUUGGGAGACAUCUCUUGGAAGCCAAAGCUUUAUGUGCUGAAAGAUGGCCUCGCGUCUGAUUAGCUAGUUGGUGAGGUAACGGCUCACCAAGGCGACGAUCAGUAGCCGGUCUGAGAGGAUGAACGGCCACAUUGGGACUGAGAUACGGCCCAGACUCCUACGGGAGGCAGCAGUGGGGAAUAUUGGGCAAUGGGGGAAACCCUGACCCAGCAACGCCGCGUGAAGGAAGAAGGCCUUCGGGUUGUAAACUUCUUUUACCAGGGACGAAGGACGUGACGGUACCUGGAGAAAAAGCAACGGCUAACUACGUGCCAGCAGCCGCGGUAAUACGUAGGUUGCAAGCGUUGUCCGGAUUUACUGGGUGUAAAGGGCGUGUAGGCGGAGAUGCAAGUUGGGAGUGAAAUCCAUGGGCUCAACCCAUGAACUGCUCUCAAAACUGUAUCCCUUGAGUAUCGGAGAGGCAAGCGGAAUUCCUAGUGUAGCGGUGAAAUGCGUAGAUAUUAGGAGGAACACCAGUGGCGAAGGCGGCUUGCUGGACGACAACUGACGCUGAGGCGCGAAAGCGUGGGGAGCAAACAGGAUUAGAUACCCUGGUAGUCCACGCUGUAAACGAUGAAUACUAGGUGUGGGAGGACUGACCCCUUCCGUGCCGCAGUUAACACAAUAAGUAUUCCACCUGGGGAGUACGACC